Molecule: long non-coding RNA, 976 nt
Filed under: Hordeum vulgare
Lineage: Eukaryota; Viridiplantae; Streptophyta; Magnoliopsida; Poales; Poaceae
Description: long non-coding RNA (HVUL_LNC001728)
Source: RNAcentral
AUAAGUUAAAUUCCCUAUACACGUGAAUGUCUUCUAAACUGUGUAAAGUAAUGUAUUUAUAGAUGAUGGUACGGUGACGGCGACAGUGAUAAAUUGUUCGAAACAUGUAAGUGAUAGCAAUCCAGCAUCCAAUUUUUGUUCAGGGACAGUUGAUUAUGAGUAAUUCUAGGAAGAAUCAAAAACUAAAACGAACUGGGCCUUAAUCUCAUUGCAUUUAAGAUCCACGAAUCAGGCAUCAACAACACGGGGGCCGAUCUGGAGGCGCUGAACGAGUUUGUGUUACAAGCAGGGAGCGACCAGAUCGGACAGAAUUUUACAUCAGAACAUCUCGACGUCAUGACAGACCAGAUCCAACAUGCCGCAGGGACGGAACCCGGGUGCUACUAUUUCUUGCCGGCGGCGUUCUUCUUGGCGUCGUCGGCCCCCUUCGUUGCCUGCGCCGCCUUCUUGGCGGUCUUCUCCUGCAGCGCCUUGGCGUCCCUCUCUCGUCGCUGCUCCGGCGUGAGCCCGUCGUCGCGGCCCUUGCUCCCCGGCUUCCGCGCCUGCGCCCUCUGCCUGUCCCGCUCCCUCUGGUCGCCGCGUGCAGCCGCCAGCCCAGGUCAAGGAACAACACGUACAGAACAGAGAAGUACAGAUCCAACCAGAACACGCAUACGGUAACAACGAAAAAUAUAGAAUUUUCGACAGGGAUCAAUGAAACUAGAUGAAUCAGAGAAGGCAAUUUUUAUUCGCGGUGAAGGAUAUGAGUCAUGGCCGCUCCGAGGUAGAGAGAUUUGGGGGACGGGAGAAAGAUUGACGGAGAGAGGGAGGGGGCAGGUCGUAGUAUAAUUGUUGUGGUUUUGGAUCGUGAGGUCGGAACGGGGGUGGGGCGUGUGGCGGUGUAUAUGUAGGGCCGCGGGGUAGGUUCCGGAAGCGCCUCUCCCUUCUGGAACGUUCGGCGCCGAAUAAAUAAAAGGAGGAGAUAAAAGCGGAGCCG